AUCAUUAUCGAAAUUAAGUGAGGGUUUGAUGCUGGCAGUCUUUGUGGCUGCAUGUGCUUGCUCUCUCUUUAAUCCACUUUCACAUGUGCACCCAAAUUUUUGUUUUUCGGAGGUGAGGCCUAGCCCUAGCCUUUGAAAGUCUAUAAACUCUUAUUUGAUGUAACUGAAUGUUUAUCUGCCGAAAGGCAAAAAUAAUUACAACUUUUAACAACGGAUCUCUUGGCUCUCGCAUCGAUGAAGAACGCAGCGAAAUGCGAUAAGUAAUGUGAAUUGCAGAAUUCAGUGAAUCAUCGAAUCUUUGAACGCACCUUGCACUCUCUGGUAUUCCGGAGAGUACGCCUGUUCGAGUGUCAUGAGACUCUCAAGCAGAGAUAGCUUUCUCUGUUUGGAAUUAGACUCUGCUGUGUAAAUGCGGCUAGUCUUAAAUGCAUUAGCUGGUCCCUUGUGCGGGAUUUUGGUUCUACUUGGCGUGAUAAUUAUCUAACGUUGAGGACAGUCUUUAGGGACUGGCCAGAGCCCCAUGUAUUUGGAUUGCUUCUAAUUAUUAUUGUCCUUGGACAAAAUAUAUUUUAAUGAUCUGACCUCGAAUCAGGUGGGAUUACCCGCUGAACUUAAGCAUAUCAAUAAGCGGAGGAAAAGAAACUAACAAGGAUUCCCCUAGUAACGGCGAGUGAAGCGGGAUGAGCUCAAAUUUAAAAUCUGGUAGCCUUGUGGCUGCCCGAGUUGUAAUCUAGAGAAGUGCUUUCUGUGCUGGACUGUGUACAAGUUUCCUGGAUACGGAACAUCAUAGAGGGUGAGAAUCCCGUGCUUGAUACAGACUACCAGUGCUUUGUGAUGCGCUCUCAACGAGUCGAGUUGUUUGGGAUUGCAGCUCAAAAUGGGAGGUAAAUUCCUUCUAAAGCUAAAUAUUGGCGAGAGACCGAUAGCGAACAAGUACCGUGAGGGAAAGAUGAAAAGCACUUUGGAAAGAGAGUUAAACAGUACGUGAAAUUGUUAAAAGGGAAACGAUUGAAGUCAGUCGCGUCUUACUUGGACUCAGCCUUGCCUUUUGGCUUGGUGCACUUCCUUGUAGACGGGCCAGUGUUCAUGUUGGUUGCUGGGAAAGGUGUAGGGGAAUGUGGCUCCUUUGGAGUGUUAUAUGCCCCUGCUCAUACACAGUGGCUGAUAUGGAGUGGUACAGCA
RNAcentral lists this ribosomal RNA (1182 nucleotides) under uncultured fungus. RNAcentral's name for it is "eukaryotic LSU rRNA". The stretch from base 579 to 1182 matches the Rfam family "Eukaryotic large subunit ribosomal RNA", at positions 1 to 600 of the family's 3401-position model. Lineage: Eukaryota; Fungi. The record is from RNAcentral.